RNAcentral lists this ribosomal RNA (465 nucleotides) under Vreelandella stevensii. Its description in RNAcentral is "partial 16S ribosomal RNA". It matches the Rfam family "Bacterial small subunit ribosomal RNA", at positions 338 to 795 of the family's 1533-position model. Lineage: Bacteria; Pseudomonadati; Pseudomonadota; Gammaproteobacteria; Oceanospirillales; Halomonadaceae. The record is from RNAcentral.
CCUACGGGGGGCAGCAGUGGGGAAUAUUGGACAAUGGGGGGAACCCUGAUCCAGCCAUGCCGCGUGUGUGAAGAAGGCCCUCGGGUUGUAAAGCACUUUCAGUGAGGAAGAACGCCUGGUGGUUAAUACCCAUCAGGAAAGACAUCACUCACAGAAGAAGCACCGGCUAACUCCGUGCCAGCAGCCGCGGUAAUACGGAGGGUGCGAGCGUUAAUCGGAAUUACUGGGCGUAAAGCGCGCGUAGGUGGCUUGAUAAGCCGGUUGUGAAAGCCCCGGGCUCAACCUGGGAACGGCAUCCGGAACUGUCGAGCUAGAGUGCAGGAGAGGAAGGUAGAAUUCCCGGUGUAGCGGUGAAAUGCGUAGAGAUCGGGAGGAAUACCAGUGGCGAAGGCGGCCUUCUGGACUGACACUGACACUGAGGUGCGAAAGCGUGGGUAGCAAACAGGAUUAGAUACCCUAGUAGUC